Y RNA from Callithrix jacchus (white-tufted-ear marmoset), 101 nucleotides. It matches the Rfam family "Y RNA". From Rfam's summary of the family: Y RNAs are components of the Ro ribonucleoprotein particle (Ro RNP), in association with Ro60 and La proteins. The record is from Ensembl. NCBI's taxonomy places the organism in Eukaryota, Metazoa, Chordata, Mammalia, Primates, Cebidae.
GGUUGGUCUGAAUGCAGUGGUGUUUACAAUAAACUGACCACACGAGUUACAGAUUUCUUUGCUUCUCCUCUGCUCCCACUGCUUUCCAUAACUAGCCUUAA